AACGAACGCUGGCGGCAUGCCUAACACAUGCAAGUCGAACGAGACCUUCGGGUCUAGUUGCGCACGGGUGCGUAACGCGUGGGAACCUGCCCUUAGGUUCGGAAUAACUCCCCGAAAGGGGUGCUAAUACCGGAUAAUGUCUUCGGACCAAAGAUUUAUCGCCUUUGGAUGUGCCCGCGUUGGAUUAGCUAGUUGGUAGGGUAAAAGCCUACCAAGGCGACGAUCCAUAGCUGGUCUGAGAGGAUGAGCAGCCACACUGGGACUGAGACACGGCCCAGACUCCGACGGGAGGCAGCAGUGGGGAAUAUUGGACAAUGGGCGAAAGCCUGAUGCAGCAAUGCCGCGUGAGUGAUGAAGGCCUUAGGGUUGUAAAGCUCUUUUAACCGGGAUGAUAAUGACAGUACCGGGAGAAUAAGCGCCGGCUAACUCCGUG
RNAcentral lists this ribosomal RNA (433 nucleotides) under uncultured bacterium. RNAcentral describes it as "partial 16S ribosomal RNA". It matches the Rfam family "Bacterial small subunit ribosomal RNA", at positions 29 to 507 of the family's 1533-position model. The record is from RNAcentral.